Molecule: ribosomal RNA, 236 nt
Filed under: uncultured bacterium
Lineage: Bacteria
Description: partial 16S ribosomal RNA
Rfam family: Bacterial small subunit ribosomal RNA
Source: RNAcentral
UGAGUAACCUGUCCUCGGCACCGGGAUAGCCCGGGGGAAACCCGGAUUAAUACCGGAUGGCCUCUCGCGCCCUCGAGCGCGAAAGGAAAGGUGGCUUCGGCUUCUGGCCGAGGAUGAGCCCGCGGCCGAUUAGCUUGUUGGUGAGGUAAUGGUCACCAAGGCUACGAUCGGUAGCUGGUCUGAGAGGACGAUCAGCCACACUGGGACUGAGACACGGCCCAGACUCCUACGGGAGG